This 330-nucleotide long non-coding RNA is filed under the name Mytilus galloprovincialis (Mediterranean mussel). Lineage: Eukaryota; Metazoa; Mollusca; Bivalvia; Mytilida; Mytilidae. The record is from RNAcentral.
UUAUUAUUUGUAAACAUACAUGCUCCCCGUGUAACACGUGUCUGAAUUAUCCUUUCAAAGUGUUAUGAAUCUUUCAAUCACUAUUUUAUGAUAUUUCUUUUUGUUUUUAGGUCUGCAUAUCAGUAUAGUCCAAGUGAAUUAGUAAUAGUUCUGAGUUGUGUGUUUUUUUUUGUUUUUUUUAUAGAAUUAGAAGGUAACUAUAAGUCUACAUAAGUUUAUAUUUAACUAAUGUCUUAAAAAGAUAACUCCACUUUCCCUCUAUAUUUAAAACCGCAUACUAAUUUAAACAGCAUUUGCUCCCCUUGAACACUAAUUUGCCCCUUCCCCGUC